This is a long non-coding RNA of Manduca sexta (tobacco hornworm), 698 nucleotides long. RefSeq lists it as uncharacterized. The record is from RefSeq and is a predicted model, not a curated record. NCBI's taxonomy places the organism in Eukaryota, Metazoa, Arthropoda, Insecta, Lepidoptera, Sphingidae. The transcript has 4 exons.
UGCUUGUUCUUGUUCUGAGGCGCCGACGAACUGAGAUUGUCAACUUGUUGCACCAGACACACGUCAAAUGGAUACCUUAUUAUAAUUAAAGCGUGUCCACCGCGCUGCUCACAUCCAGCGCGGACGUGGUCAAUGUCAUCACGUCGUGGCCCCUGCGCCGCCCGGGCGCCUGUCGUCGACCCGAGCCGUAAUCUCCUCAAAGGAUUUGUGUCUUGGCUGCAGCUGUGACAUCUUACUUGGGUUUGUUUGUUGCUAAACGAAGCGAACCUUCCGACUCAAGUUCAUGUAUUUUGCCACUAGACUAAAGAAACGACCUUUCUGCCUUCGAUUAUAAAACCUAAUGUUUCAAAUAACAAGGCUCAUCACAAUGGUCGUAACCCCAUAAGCUUGGAGUGUGUGCCAAAUGUGCACAAAUACGCGUCCAACAUUGGAACCAACCCUCGCCGCUCGCGUUCUCCCGGCGCGGCGCGGUGCUGUACAGACUACAGACGUCACAAACGGCUCAUUAAAUGUGCAAUAAUGUGAAGGGUAGUAAUUGACGACACCCUUUCAUUGGAUAUCGAGUUGGAAUUCAUUAAAUCAGAGCAAUACAGAUGAGGGUAGAUACAGUGCGAGGACGGGAGUAAAUUUUUUAUACGAAUAAAGAGAAUGUUAUUGUGUUUAUAAAAAUAAAAAUGUAUCUGACACAAAUAAUAAUG